Molecule: non-coding RNA, 173 nt
Filed under: Caldifarciminota bacterium
Lineage: Bacteria; Pseudomonadati; Caldifarciminota
Description: 6S RNA
Rfam family: 6S / SsrS RNA
About the family: E. coli 6S RNA was the first non coding RNA to be sequenced, but its function was unknown until recently. It consists of 184 nucleotides that fold into an extended hairpin structure with a large single-stranded internal bulge.
Source: RNAcentral
GACUCCCUGGGGUGCCCGUGAUAGAUGUUUGAAGUCUUGAGCCAACACCGGACCGAUGGAGGCAGGGUUUGGUGCCGGUGGUGCCCUGUAGGGCAGUCAUGCCGGCAUCAACAUGCCACCGCUCUUAGUUCGGGUUCAGAGACUUUGAUCUACACGGCACCUUCAGGGAGCCA